UACGUAGGGGGCGAGCGUUGUCCGGAAUUAUUGGGCGUAAAGAGCGUGUAGGCGGUUCGGUAAGUCUGCCGUGAAAACCCGGGGCUCAACCCCGGGCGUGCGGUGGAUACUGCCGGGCUAGAGGGUGGUAGAGGCGAGUGGAAUUCCCGGUGUAGCGGUGAAAUGCGCAGAUAUCGGGAGGAACACCAGUAGCGAAGGCGGCUCGCUGGGCCAUUCCUGACGCUGAGACGCGAAAGCUAGGGGAGCGAACAGG
This 253-nucleotide ribosomal RNA is filed under the name uncultured bacterium. Its description in RNAcentral is "partial 16S ribosomal RNA". It matches the Rfam family "Bacterial small subunit ribosomal RNA", at positions 524 to 776 of the family's 1533-position model. The record is from RNAcentral.